AACAGCAUGGCUUAGUGGAAAGAGCCUGGGUUUGGGAGUCAGAGGCCGUGGGUUCUAAUCCCGCUUCUGUCA
Molecule: transfer RNA, 72 nt
Filed under: Ornithorhynchus anatinus (platypus)
Lineage: Eukaryota; Metazoa; Chordata; Mammalia; Monotremata; Ornithorhynchidae
Rfam family: tRNA
About the family: Transfer RNA (tRNA) molecules are approximately 80 nucleotides in length.
Source: Rfam by way of RNAcentral